GAAGCCCGGCCCACAUCCCCGCACGUGAACCCUAGCGCUAUCCCUUGCAGCCGCCUCCCACCGCCGCUCCAGAUCCAGAUCCGCCUCCCUCUCCGCUUGCUGCCUCCCUCUCCACUCGCCGCCGGUCUACACCCUCCCCUCCCCUCCCUCUCCCCUACCUUUGCCGCCCAUCUUCGCUGCCGCGCAUCCAUAGGAGCAACACGAGCGGCGCGCCAUGGGGCGGGACCGCCAACUUCUUCUCAUCACCGCUCGCCGCGGAAUGGAUAUAAGGGGCCGGCUGUCGCCGCGCGCUGUUCCUGCGGGUUGUCGCUGCGGGGGCCGGCUGUGUCCUCCUCCCGCCCGUGGAGGAUGACGAGGGCGAGGACGCGGAGGCCGGCGAAGGGGGAGGUGGUGGAGGGGUGCGCCCACUCUGGUACGAGCUAACUCGUGUGUGAUCCCGGGCACCGCAGGGCCAGCGACAAGUCCGUGAAGGAGAAGCGCAAGAUCGUCAAUGGAGACGACCUGAUCUGGUCCAUGGGCACGCUCGGCUUCGAGGACUACGUCGAGCCCCUCAAGCUGCACCUCAAGAUCUAUCGGGAGUAGAGGCUGAUGGCGUGACGGAGGCGUGCCCUGAUUUGCUCGUGCAAGCCCAAACAGGGAUCACGUCGUGGCAACGCUACAGUCGUGGCUCGAGCUAGAUCACCAUGGCGAUGCACAACACAAGACCCCGCUGUUGGAUUCAUUUCUCUGCAGGCCUUCAAGUACAAGAGGCUUCUGCUUGACUAUAACAGCGUACAUGACCAACAAUUCUGCUGAUGAGUAGCAUCUCUUAUUUAGCCAUUGUUUCAGCAAUUUUCACUUAAGCAGACAUGUGUUUUGGUUUUCAGUUCCUGCAUAGGCAUCGCUGAUAAGAUAAAUAAUAACAACUGUAUAAACGGAGGUGGUUGGGUAGCAUGGAUUAUGCUGGACUGACUAAGCUUGAGUCCAAAUUUCCUUCGUUUUGAAUUCAGUUAGCCAUUGUUUGAGCAAAUCAUUUCUACAUGCAUGUGUACUGGGGUUAGUACUAUCUACUAUGGUGAAUGCCAUGCAAACAAUUAAGUUGCUUCAUUUGAUUGCCUGCUACAUCUCCACUUAAAUACUCAUAAUGCUACUGUCCAGAUCUUGUUCAAUUGGACUGACUACAUAUCUCUUGUUAAAAUUGUGGUUUUGAUCUUUUGUUUAAACCUGAGACAUCAUGCAUAACUAGCUCUUCCUUUAGAGUCUAAACCUGAGACCUCUUUUGUUUUAUAUUCAGUUCUAUGAUUGAUGGUCACACUGCUGUUUUGCUAUGCUUGAUAAACCUGAGACCUCUUUCUAUUCUUAUUCUUUAGGUCACACUGUUGUUUUGCUGUGGUUGAUAAACCUGAGGCUUCUUUCUAUUUUUCAAGGCGGUUUUGUUUAGGCCAGCCAUGGAGCAAAAAGAACGGACAUUGCUACUUAAUCAAGAGGGAAUACCCGACGAGGCCAUGAUGCUUACCUUGCUCGGGCGCAUCAACCCCAACCAUGGCACCACAUUCACAGUCUUGAGGUAGCCGUGCUGCAACUACAUCAACGCUAUCUUCUCUGACUAGAUAAGUCUUCGGUCUAUCCCCUUAUUUUCUUUUGUUCUUUGGUCGAUGGGCCAUGAUGCCAUUGUGUUGAUUCCCUAUGUGAUGCAGAAGCUAUGGUGUUUUGUUUUAAGUCUGUUAUAAAUUGUAAUUGAUAAUGAUUUGUGUAAAAUUAGUGUAGAACAUAUGUCUUGUUAUCUUAAAUUGUUCAUGUCGUGCUCAAUGAACCAUCAAAGAUUAAAUUGUUUUCUGCGUUCAACAUCUAGAACCAUUUUGGGAGUUUUGGUAUACAUGCAACAACUAUGCCUUCUUGUAUUCUGAACAACCAUUUCUGGAAGUUUUGGUAUUCAUGCAACAACUAGUCCUUGUGGUUAUUACGGUUACAUGUUACAUGUAGAGAUGGUUCAUGAUUUAGUCCCUAGCUGCUAUCUAUCUUUGUUUUUAUUUUGUUUCUAACUCUUUUGGUUAAUUGUUAGAUGCCUUUGUUCAGAUUGUACGGACAUAUCCAGAAAUGGUGUUUCCUCUCAUGUAAAGAGCUCCAGCCUGAAAGUGAAGAAGUUUGGAGUGUAUUUGUAGCAGGUUUAUAUGUUGUGAUGGUAUCACAUGUAAUGGUGAAAUGAAUUAUGUAAAGAUUGUGCUAUUAGCCAAAAUUGGCAUGUGGUUUGAUAAUUCUCAUUUGUUUGCUGUUUUGACUGAAAUAAUUGUGUGGAAAUUGAAACAUUGGUUGUCUUUAAUUA
Long non-coding RNA from Triticum urartu, 2302 nucleotides. RefSeq lists it as uncharacterized. Lineage: Eukaryota; Viridiplantae; Streptophyta; Magnoliopsida; Poales; Poaceae. The record is from RefSeq and is a predicted model, not a curated record.